UCAGGUGGUCCGGACCCGGAGCCCGAGGCAGACGGCAGACAGUGAGGCCCCGACCCGAAUCACCGAAGUGGAGAUUCCCACAAAGCCCUCCCUCCUCCGGUUCUCCACCGCCGCCCGCGGCGCCGCCACCGCGUCCGCGGCUCGCUGGCUCCGGAGUCCGCACCUCCGCGCCACGCCGGACGCCGCCACCCGGCUACUCCCUCGGCAAGAGACGACGGCGCACGGCCACGGCGCACCCGCUCGCGUCGAGCCUUCAGCCCCCCUCGGCCUCCCCUCUCCACGCGACCCUCCGGCUCACGCCGCAAUGGCCGCCGCCGGCGGCGACCCGCUGACCCCGCCCUCUGGCAUAUAUUACAGCAGGCACAAGAAAUCCGCUGAGCGCAACAGCUUAUUUACACCUGGAGUUGCAACCUAUUCCAGUGGUCAUGCACUUCCUAAGGUCCCCAGUUUGGUAUUUGGCAGUGCUAGCAAGGAAUGGGAAAACAUUCGUCAGCGCAAGGUCCAAUUGAUCAACUUCCUUUCUAGUCUGGAAAGUCCCUCUCAAAAUUCUGCCAUAGCUGGGAAAAUGGCAGGUAGCAAAUUGAAGAAUCAUUCUAUGGAGCCAACAGAACAAAAAGGAAAGCCUGACAUCAUAAUUCUUGAUUCAGAUGAUGAGGACGAAAACAAUUCAGGAUACAAUAAGUUGGCGCCUAAGACAAACAACGAACUGACAACAUCUGAAUUGGCUAGUAAUGUCAUGAAAUGGGUGGCAUCCAAUGGGAUGAGCCAAGCAUCUGAAACCAUGCAUGCUGAAGGAGACAAAAAUACACAGAUUGUUCCAUAUGGUCAAAGUGCAGCUUUAGUGAAUCAAUUUCCUUUGCAAAACAGCUGGCAACCAUCUAUUCAAUUUGAGAGAGUUGUGUUGCAGAAAAGGCCUGAGGAGCAGCGUAUGCAAGAUCUCGUGGCUGCUAACAUAGCGGAGAGGAGAGCAGAAACACAAGUGUUCCUUUCACUUCCUACUGAGAAAAAGCGAAGGAGGUCAGACCCCAGCUUGCAUGUCAGGGAAGAUGCUACCACUGUCCCUAGACAAAGAAAAAGAAAAUCUGACACAGAUCCAGUAGGUGCUGAUUUAUCAUCGGGUUUACGAGAAACUGACAUUUCAUCAGAACCUGACCUGCCUAUAGAGGAAGAGGAGAAACCAAAAAAUGAAAGUGAUGGUCUUGAGGAAUAUUGGAAAGAUUUUGCGUUGGCUGUUGAAAGCACAAAGCUUGACGCAGUUGAUGAGGCAGCAAAUGAGAAAGAAGAGGAUAGUGGAAAGAUGGAGGACGUCGACUGCAUUCAUGACAUUCGGAUUCAUGAAGAUUUGGGCCAUGUAUGCCGUAUCUGUGGUAUGAUUGUGAGAAGAGCUGAAUCAAUAAUUGAUUAUCAGUGGAAAAAGGCUUCAAGGAGAAAAACAGAUUGCUAUGGAGGACAUUCAAAGGAUGUUGAUGACAAAGACUAUGGUAUUGUUAAACUGUCCGAAGAUUUUAUAGUUUCAGAUAUUGCUAUUCAUCCUAGACAUGCUAGGCAAAUGAGACCGCAUCAGUUGGAAGGAUUCAACUUUUUGGUUAAGAAUUUGAUUGGAGACAAGCCUGGAGGUUGCAUUCUUGCUCAUGCCCCAGGUUCAGGGAAAACGUUUAUGCUUAUAAGUUUCAUUCAGAGCUUCCUAGCAAGGUAUCCAUCUGCAAGGCCCCUUGUUGUGCUGCCCAAAGGGAUAUUAGGCACAUGGAAGAAAGAAAUUCAACAGUGGCAAGUGCAGGAUAUACCAUUGUAUGAUUUCUACUCUGUUAAGGCUGAAAAAAGAGUAGACCAGUUGGAAGUCAUCAAAUCAUGGGAAGACAAGAUGAGUAUACUGUUUCUUGGAUACAAGCAGUUCUCCACAAUCAUCUCUGAUGAUGGGGGCAGCAAAGCAGCAGCUGCAUGUAGGGAGAGGCUGCUUAAGGUCCCCAACCUUUUGAUAAUGGAUGAGGGUCAUACACCUAGAAAUCGGGAGACUGAUGUACUAGAAUCUCUGAAUAGAGUGGAAACACCACGCAAAGUGGUCCUUUCAGGUACACUUUUCCAGAAUCACGUUAAUGAAGUGUUUAACAUCUUGAAUCUUGUUCGCCCAAAGUUUCUCAAGAUGGAAUCAUCCCGUCCUAUUGUUAGACGGAUAAUGAGUCAAGUAGUAAUGUCAGGUAGAAGUUCAAAAGGGAUUGCUGACAAUGCAUUUACUGAGUCAGUUGAAGAAACCUUGUUGCAUGAUGAAAACUUCAAGAGAAAAGCUCAUAUCAUUAGAGGUCUUAGAGAACUUACAAAGGAUGUGCUUCACUACUAUAAGGGUGAUAUCUUAGAUGAACUACCUGGCUUAGUAGACUUCAGCGUGUUCUUGAAACUCACUCCCAUGCAGAAAGAGAUCACUCAAAAGAAGAUGGGAGCAUAUGACAAGUUCAAAAGAAGUGCAGUAGAUAGUUCAUUGUAUGUUCAUCCUUGUCUUUCGGAAAUUUCAGAAGUUAAUGCUGAGGAUAGGGCUAACACAUUGACAGAUAAGUCAAUUGAUAUUAUGAUUGAUUCCAUCAAUGUGAGAGAUGGGGUGAAGGCCAGGUUUUUCAUGAAUAUCCUGUCACUUGCUAAUUCUGCAGGAGAGAAAUUACUUGCUUUUAGCCAAUAUAUACUUCCAAUGAAAUUUUUGGAAAGGCUGCUUAUUAAGGUUAAGGGCUGGCAUGUGGGGAAAGAGAUUUUCAUGAUCUCUGGUGAUACUAGUCAGGAAGACAGAGAAUUGAGAGUAGAUCAAUUUAACAACUCUGCUGAUGCAAAAGUGCUGUUCGGUUCCAUCAGGGCAUGUGGCGAGGGCAUCUCCCUUGUCGGCGCAUCGAGAGUCGUCAUUUUAGAUGUUCACCUGAACCCAUCUGUCACCCGUCAAGCGAUCGGGCGUGCAUUCAGGCCCGGACAGCAUAAGAAAGUGUUUGUAUACAGGCUUGUAGCUGCUGAUUCUGCUGAGGAGAAGCACCAUGAGACUGCAUUCAAGAAAGAAGUCAUACCGAAGCUUUGGUUCGAAUGGAGUGAACACUGUACAACAGAAGACUUUAAGCUCAGUCAAGUUGACAUUGAUGACUCUGGGGAUGAAUUAUUGGAUACUAAAGCAGUGCGCCAGGAUAUCAAGGCACUGUAUAGAAGGUAACAAGCUCUGUGGCCACUGGACACCAUGUAAAUAUUGGAAUGCUGAUCUUCGGAGCUGUUCCUUGAUCUGAACAGGGUGUUACAGUGGCUCCAUUGUGGUGACAGACCUGAGUUUGCUCUAAGCUAGGACUUCAUGUUAUCAAGUCAUUUUCAAACUGUGUUUAUGGAAUGGCUCCUUUGUAGUAUGUGCCAACUUGCGACAGCAAUCAGGAUGAUCCUGUUGACUCUUUUCUUGACUGUUAGGUCAAGUUUGUGAGGAUUAUCAGACACCGCUUUCUCCCCCUAAAUUUCUCGUGGGCAACAAUAAACAACUAAAUAAACCCUUUCGUGAAUCUGUUUCUGUUCGCUUAGUUUG
Molecule: RNA transcript, 3532 nt
Organism: Setaria italica (foxtail millet)
Lineage: Eukaryota; Viridiplantae; Streptophyta; Magnoliopsida; Poales; Poaceae
Gene name: protein CHROMATIN REMODELING 35
Exons: 7
Source: RefSeq, a predicted model, not a curated record